CUUGCUUUCUUUGCUGGCGACCGGCGCACGGGUGAGUAACACGUAUCCAACCUGCCGAUAACUCGGGGAUAGCCUUUCGAAAGAAAGAUUAAUACCCGAUGGUAUAAUAAAGCCGCAUGGUUUAAUUAUUAAAGAAUUUCGGUUAUCGAUGGGGAUGCGUUCCAUUAGUUUGUUGGCGGGGUAACGGCCCACCAAGACUACGAUGGAUAGGGGUUCUGAGAGGAAGGUCCCCCACAUUGGAACUGAGACACGGUCCAA
RNAcentral lists this ribosomal RNA (258 nucleotides) under uncultured bacterium. Its description in RNAcentral is "partial 16S ribosomal RNA". It matches the Rfam family "Bacterial small subunit ribosomal RNA", at positions 75 to 334 of the family's 1533-position model. The record is from RNAcentral.